UCGAGAAUCUUUCACAAUGGGGGCAACCCUGAUGGAGCGACGCCGCGUGGAGGAUAAGGUCUUCGGAUUGUAAACUCCUGUCAUGUGUGAACAAGGCAGCCGGGCUAAUACCUUGAGCUGAUUGAUGGUAACACAAGAGGAAGAGACGGCUAACUCUGUGCCAGCAGCCGCGGUAAUACAGAGGUCUCAAGCGUUGUUCGGAAUCACUGGGCGUAAAGGGUGCGUAGGUGGCGUGGUAAGUCAGAUGUGAAAGCCCGGGGCUCAACCUCGGAAUUGCAUCCGAUACUGCCGUGCUUGAGUACUGGAGAGGUGACUAGAAUUCUAGGUGUAGCAGUGAAAUGCGUAGAUAUCUAGAGGAAUACCAAAGGCGUAGGCAGGUCACUGGACAGUUACUGACACUGAGGCACGAAGGCCAGGGGAGCAAACGGG
RNAcentral lists this ribosomal RNA (429 nucleotides) under uncultured bacterium. RNAcentral's name for it is "bacterial SSU rRNA". It matches the Rfam family "Bacterial small subunit ribosomal RNA", at positions 355 to 776 of the family's 1533-position model. The record is from RNAcentral.